RNAcentral lists this ribosomal RNA (253 nucleotides) under uncultured bacterium. RNAcentral describes it as "partial 16S ribosomal RNA". It matches the Rfam family "Bacterial small subunit ribosomal RNA", at positions 524 to 776 of the family's 1533-position model. The record is from RNAcentral.
UACGGAGGGUGCAAGCGUUGUUCGGAAUCACUGGGCGUAAAGGGCGUGUAGGCGGCCCGCUAAGUCUGAUGUGAAAGCCCGAGGCUUACCCUCGGAAGUGCAUUGGAGACUGGCGGACUGGAGUCCCGGAGAGGAGGGUGGAAUUCCUGGUGUAGCGGUGAAAUGCGUAGAUAUCAGGAGGAACACCGGUGGCGAAGGCGGCACUCUGGACGGUGACUGACGCUGAGGCGCGAAAGCGUGGGGAGCGAACCGG